This 76-nucleotide transfer RNA is filed under the name Actinomadura rubteroloni. RNAcentral describes it as "Actinomadura sp. RB29 tRNA-Leu". It matches the Rfam family "tRNA". Rfam says of the family: Transfer RNA (tRNA) molecules are approximately 80 nucleotides in length. Their secondary structure includes four short double-helical elements and three loops (D, anti-codon, and T loops). Lineage: Bacteria; Bacillati; Actinomycetota; Actinomycetes; Streptosporangiales; Thermomonosporaceae. The record is from RNAcentral.
GCCCCGAUAGCCCAAUAGGCAGCAGGCGAUGGUCUCAAAAGCCAUAAAGUGUGGGUUCGAGUCCCACUCGGGGCAC